AUCCUCACUGAAAAGCAUACUCUUCUUUCUUUGUUUUCUGAGAAAGCUUGAUUGGCGAAAGCUAGAGGGAGAGGUCCGUGGAUCCACCAAUGGGGCAUCCCUUGACUUGAUGAGGUCUUGAAAAAUAGGAUCUUUGUCGGGGGGUGCCAACACUUGGUCUUAGAUCUUGUGGUCCAACUCGGAAUGUCACUAAUUUAUGUCAUAAGUAUGUGCUCUUUGAUAGCCUAUCUAAUGUCUGAGUGUGA
Molecule: long non-coding RNA, 245 nt
Filed under: Elaeis guineensis (African oil palm)
Lineage: Eukaryota; Viridiplantae; Streptophyta; Magnoliopsida; Arecales; Arecaceae
Description: long non-coding RNA (EGUI_LNC048733)
Source: RNAcentral